Molecule: ribosomal RNA, 451 nt
Filed under: uncultured bacterium
Lineage: Bacteria
Description: partial 16S ribosomal RNA
Rfam family: Bacterial small subunit ribosomal RNA
Source: RNAcentral
AGCGAACGCUGGCGGCAGGCUUAACACAUGCAAGUCGAACGCUCGUCUUCGGACGGGAGUGGCAGACGGGUGAGUAACACGUGGGAACGUACCCUUUGGUUCGGAAUAACACAGGGAAACUCGUGCUAAUACCGGAUACGCCCUUUUGGGGAAAGGUUUACUGCCGAAGGAUCGGCCCGCGUCUGAUUAGCUAGUUGGUGGGGUAACGGCCUACCAAGGCGACGAUCAGUAGCUGGUCUGAGAGGAUGAUCAGCCACACUGGGACUGAGACACGGCCCAGACUCCUACGGGAGGCAGCAGUGGGGAAUACUGGACAAUGGGCGCAAGCCUGAUCCAGCCAUGCCGCGUGAGUGAUGAAGGCCUUAGGGUUGUAAAGCUCUUUUGUCCGGGACGAUAAUGACGGCACCGGAAGAAUAAGCCCCGGCUAACUUCGUGCCAGCCGCCGCCGUAA